This 268-nucleotide ribosomal RNA is filed under the name uncultured Tomentella. Its description in RNAcentral is "partial large subunit ribosomal RNA". The record is from RNAcentral. Lineage: Eukaryota; Fungi; Basidiomycota; Agaricomycetes; Thelephorales; Thelephoraceae.
ACGCUUGAAGUCAGUCAUGUCAGCCAGGACUCAGCCUUGCUUUCGCUUGGUGCACUUUCUGGUUUGAUGGGCCAACAUCAAUUUCGACCGUUGGAGAAAGGCUUUGGGAAUGUGGCACCUUUUGGGUGUGUUAUAGCCCUUUGUUGUAUAUGACGGUUGGGAUUGAGGACCGCAGCACGCCUUAUGGCCGGGGUUCGCCCACGUACGUGCUUAGGAUGUUGGCAUAAUGGCUUUAAGCGACCCGUCUUGAAACACGGACCAAGGAGUC